This 466-nucleotide ribosomal RNA is filed under the name uncultured bacterium. Its description in RNAcentral is "partial 16S ribosomal RNA". It matches the Rfam family "Bacterial small subunit ribosomal RNA", at positions 29 to 507 of the family's 1533-position model. The record is from RNAcentral.
AUGAACGCUGGCGGCGUGCUUAACACAUGCCAGUCGAACGGAAAGGCCCAAGCUUGCUUGGGUACUCGAGUGGCGAACGGGUGAGUAACACGUGGGUGAUCUGCCCUGCACUUCGGGAUAAGCCUGGGAAACUGGGUCUAAUACCGGAUAGGACCACUUCUUGGAUGUUGUGGUGGAAAGUUUUUUCGGUGUGGGAUGAGCUCGCGGCCUAUCAGCUUGUUGGUGGGGUAAUGGCCUACCAAGGCGUCGACGGGUAGCCGGCCUGAGAGGGUGUACGGCCACAUUGGGACUGAGAUACGGCCCAGACUCCUACGGGAGGCAGCAGUGGGGAAUAUUACACAAUGGGCGCAAGCCUGAUGCAGCGACGCCGCGUGGGGGAUGACGGCCUUCGGGUUGUAAACUCCUUUCGCUAGGGACGAAGCGUUUUGUGACGGUACCUGGAGAAGAAGCACCGGCUAACUACGUG